This 5843-nucleotide long non-coding RNA is filed under the name Lynx pardinus (Iberian lynx). The record is from RNAcentral. Lineage: Eukaryota; Metazoa; Chordata; Mammalia; Carnivora; Felidae.
ACUUCAGUGACUUUGUCCUUUACAUUGACAAGCCAGAUAAGAUGAUCUCGUCUUAAAUAAUCUUUUGUGUUUAGGUAUUUCUCUGGCAGUUUUGUAUUACAAUUUAAAAAUAGACUACCCUAUGCCUAUACUCAUGUUGGCUAUGGUAUUUUGAACUUGAUUUCUGAGGCUGCUGACAGCUUUUGAAAGAUUUAACAACUGGCAGCAAGAAAAACUCCCUUAGAAUGUGUUCUAUGAAAUUUUUUCUCCUGGAAAAAAAAAAAAGAGAGACAUCAUUUAGCAGGUAAUAUAUUGCAAUAAAAAUAUGGUUAUGCAAUAAUGGUUCAUUAAUAUGACAAAUCAUAACAUAACCUUUUCUAUUAAAUGUAAAAAGCAAUUUAUUGAAAUGAAGACAUCCUUCCUAUGGUGCAUUUCCAUAGUCAUUGGUUCGAAAGGUUUCUUUUUUAUUAUUAUUCAAAACAGUCAUUUUGAUUUGCACAGGAGAUAACAGUUGUUCAUGACAUUUUUAUUUCUGCAUAAACAGAUUUCCAUUUUGGCGAAGGUUAAUACAGUAGGAAUUUGUUUUUACUUUUGGAUAUACUGUGAUACCACUAAAGCACUUUGUUUAGUAUGGAACCGCUAAUUUAUCCUUUAUGCCUUUACGAUCUUGUCAGUGCCGCAUGUCUCCCUUAGUUUUUCUAAUCUAAAAUAAUCCCAGUGAAAUCCUUUGAUUGUCUGUUUGGACCUGCUCCAUUCCUAAAGCAGGAAUGUAAUGGGCUUUAUGGCACUUACUUGGGAGUAAUUUAUCCAGCAGUGUGACUAUAGAUACUUGUUUUAAUAAGAAUAUGCUUUAUGGUAAGUGGGGACUGCUAUUUAAUUAGCCAAAGGGAAAGUAGUUCAUGAUACAAUCUGUUCCAAUCAUCUUGGACAUUAAACAAAAAGUCAGGCUAAGUUAUUUAUGUACAUGCACUUUAUUUGUAGUUGCUUUAAGCAAACCUCUUCUCUGAAACUUUAUAGCAUUCUCUAAGUGAGCUGAAUUGUGGUGUGGGAGGAAUCGGGUAAGAAAAGGACAUGAGAGCAUCCUAUAAAAUUCUUGAAAAAGAAACAGAAGGUUUACUUAUUGCUAUCAAGGUUGUGAGUACAGGCAUACCAAAUGGAAAACAGAGAACUAUGAAUUAUCCUCUGCCAUUUGGUGCAUUUGGUAGAAAACUGCCAUCCUUAGUGCAUAGUUGGAAGAAUGUUGUGAGGUGUUAGUAAGGCAUUUGUGUGCGUGUGCGCGCGUAUGUGUUUCCCUUAGAUUUCCAUUGCUUCUAACAGGAACAUGUUUCUGAAAGUUCACAAUUAUAGUCCUAUAUAGUAUAAAAAUAAAGGAAAUUUAAGACAUUCAAUGAAGACCCAACCACUUCAAUUCUCAGAAUGAAGUUUAGCACAUGGACAUGUUUUAAGAAAUCUUCCCUUCCUAAUAAAACUAUAAUAGUGAUAUAAUAGAUAUAGUGGUAUAGCUAUCACUUAUAGUUAUAUAAGUAGUAUCCAUUUCUAAUUGGCCAACAUGUAAUUGACUGUUCAAAGGAUUGCCAUAACAGUAUCUAUGGAUGGAUGAAAAAAACAAACAGCAAAAAAAAAGGAAACAAAAUAUGAGACUGUAUUCCUAGGAUAUUACCUCCUAGGUUAUGGUUUGCUCGAUAGUUUUAUACCUUUUCUCUCUUCCCUGUGUAAACUGUUGUAAGCACAAAGAAGUCACCUAUUGUAAGCACAAAGAACACAGGAGUUAGAAUCUGAUGACCAAUAUGGCUCUGCUAUAUUUUACCCCCAUGGCCUUGGGGAAUGCACUUAAACUAGUAAAGUUUAUUUCCCUAUGUGCACUGUCAACUUUGCAGCACUGCAGAGAGAAUCACGUGAGCUGAUAUUUGUGAGUGUCUUUUGUAAAGUGAAGGUCUAGUGUAAGUUAGAACUUGCUUAUAAAACUGCUUGGGCAUCAGGUUUGGGUUAUAGUCAUGUAUGCACAUCCUGUACAGGGUCUUUUACACUGUCAGGACUCAGAACUGAUCCUGAGUACUCUCUAAAUGGUCUUUAGUUUUCUGUACCUGUUUCUACACCACCAUUAUUUUGUACAUAACAUAUAUGUCGUUCUUUUCAAAAUGACUUUAAAAACUACAACUCAAAAAAGGGCUCUAAAUCGCAGUUUGUCUCUGUCAUCUAAGCAACCAAAGCACUGUCUUCACAAUUGGCCUGUCAGUGGCAGUGCAAAGAUGUGGCGCCCACGCUCGGGUCUUUAGGAGAACACGGUGGGCAAAGGACUCUGGUGAGCAUGAAGUAAGUCAAUGUUAAGGGCUACCCUGCCUGUACCAUUGUAUAAUUUUCAUAUCAUUUUUAUUUCAUACCAUUAGUUUCUCUUUACCAUCAGCAGGUUUUCUCCUUCUCUCUCUCCCCCCAGUUCCCCUAGGGAAAUCUUUUCAGCUGCCUAAACAAAACCCCCAAAGAUGGCUGCAUAUAUUGAGUCAUCUCCUAGACAGCUUGGGGAGGUUACAAAAGGUUUUGGAGUCAUUACUGGUUCAACAAUUGACUGCCAAUGGUCCCAGUCAUCAGGAAACAGAGGCGGUGCAGUCGCGCCUUGAAAGGAGAACCCGACUGAGUCUGUGGAUAGUACUCCUAACAUAAGGAGACAGAAAAGGAAAUACUAAAGACCGAACUUUCCUUCAACUCUGUGGUCUCACACAUCCCUCAGUGACUUGGAAAGUUUUCUGACAUGAGACAGUGUGCAGAGCGAGCUAGUCACUCCCUUUCCUCCUCCUGAAGACGUGUAAACAGCUGGUACAUGCAAUCUCCCUGGCUGGAGAGAAGUAAAUGCAUGACUGAUGUUAAACAAAUAUAGGCUUGUACCAGGAACUCAGAAGUAUUACAUAUACAACAUGACAAAGGGCCCGGUGUGGUUCAUGGUCAUUUCAGGUGUUAAGUGUCAAGCAUUGGAGUAUCAGAGUCAAUAACUUUUUUUAAAAAGGCCGUUACUUGUUUCUUCUUUGGAAUUCUUUAGGUCCUUUUGCUACAGUUUUCUUGGCAUGGCAUCAUACAAUUGUGAAAAUUGUUGAUCACCAUAAUGCUAGUGUUCCUCAAUUUUUGUUGGUUUUAAUUGCAAAAUUUGAUUUAUGUUAUUUUUAAUCUUAUCUUGAAAAAUCAAUGAGAUCAUUUUUCUUUCAAGCCAUGGUUGCAACUCAAUGGUACCAAGGUGAGCUCAGGGGGCGAGGAGGGUGGUAAAAGUGAGUGUGGGCUCAGCUUCUGUUAACUACAUUUUUCUCCUAGUAAGUAGUUGGUGUCCAAAGGUCUUGACUAUAUAAUAGGAAGCUUGGAUACGUGGUUUAGACUUAAAUGUAGACAUCUGAUUCAUCAAGUAACACUUAUGAAAUGAGUCUGUGUGUCACUGAUCUAAGUGGUAAGUGGAGGGAGUUAAAUACACUGUCCCUGUCCUCUAGGACAGUUUCAGCCUGGCUGACACUGAGGCUUAAUAAGCCAUGGUUGUCUUCAUCUUGUUUUGUAGUAGCUAGUCAACCAAUCUGUUGACAAAAAUGAGAAAUAUAAAAUGCACUGAAAAUCAAGCAAACAUAGAACAUAAUAGGAAUGAAUUCAAUGGGCUAAUUUCUCUUUUAUCACCAACUCUGUAAUGCUGAAAUUUGUGGAAUCCUUAGGGUUUAGAAAGAAUGAGGUAAAUGUCUAUCUCUAUACUAAGAUUUAUGCUUGUAUUUACCAUUAUGGCAUUUUUCCAUAUUUUGCGCCUUAUUUUUGUCUUUCUCACUAGACAAGUUCCUUGCAGAAUGUCUUCCUUUCAUGUCAUUGCAUCUUUUCUUUUUUUUUAUCCACACCAGUUCUAUAACUUCUAUAACAGGAUAGCUGCUUAAUAACGCUUCUACACUGUAGGAGUAAUGGAUGAAUUAGUGAAUGAAUGAAUGACCAUAUCUUAGUCCAGAAUAGAACCUGUGUGCAUCAAAUCCUUAUUGCUCUUUCCACCUUACUGGGGUUAUUUCAUACCCCGUAUUCUCCUCUUUUCUAUAUGAGUAAACUUCCAGAAAAGAAAAUUAGGUUAUAAUCACAUUCAAAAUGGAGGUCAGUCUGAAAUUGCUGUGUUAAAAUGAUUAUCUUUCAUGAGCCUAUGUGUCUUGAGAAUAAUUAAUGUCCUAUGUCCGUUGGUGCUUCUGUUCUUCCUGUUUGAGGCCCCUUAUUAUAGAUUUCCUAACAUUAUUUUUUAAUGGGAAAAAGAAAAGUAUAAAUUAUGGAAAUUAAAAAUACAAAUGUUUCUAUUUACAUUAUUGUUCAUAAUCAUAAUCCAAUUCUUAAGGUUCUGUGCUAAGAGCUAAGUAUAUAAUCUGAACUUUAAUCUAUUUGAUUUGAUAAAGCAUUUUACUAUUUCUUAUUCUGAAAGAACAACAAAAAUAUGUCACUUUACCUGUUUGAUAAGCUGUUAGAAACAAUAUUUAAAAACUAUUUCCCUUCAAAGCACUCUUGCAUCAGUUCCUUUCUCUCACAUCAGCCAUGAGAAGUGGACAGGACAGAUAGUAUUAUCUCCAUUUUGCAAAGAAAAUGGAGAUUCAUUAAUAUAUGUUCAUUUGGUCCUUAAAAAGGACACUACCUAUGCUUGACCCACAGGAGUUGCUAGAUCUACAAAACUAACCGUAACUUCCUCUGAAGUAGCUGACAGCCUACUUGAGGCAACAUUGCCCUUAGACUGAGGUAGCCAGGACCCCCCCAUACUAGACUCUAAGCUUUAGAGGGCCCUAAAUUCCUCUUCUGACUGUUCUCUCCAUGGGGCCAAGGAGAUGUGCUUACCCAGAAUUUGAGCCACCCUCCCUUCUAGACCACACACCAGAGACCCAGAAUUCCUUGCCCAAUGAGGAAGCCCUACUUUCUGGGCUUGUGCAUAGCCUCUUCCCCAGGUUCACCCUCCCGAGGGCACACCACUCAUCUCUAGACCCAAUAGGAUUCCAGCCUCAAGGGCCCACAAGGUGCAGAUAAAGAUGAAAAGAGAAGAGUGGACAGCUCAAGACAAACAAACAUUAGGGAAAGCCCCGAGAAGGGGAAGUAGGGAAAUCAGCAAUUACAGCACUACCCAUGAUUAAGUGGUACGAUGGAAGUGAACAGAAAAUGCUAUGGAAAAACUGAAGGAGGACACCAACCCAGCUAGGGAAUGAGAGUGGAAGAGGGAUGUUGGCAAGGCUCUUAGAGAAGAAAUUGAGCUGUGGAGGCUGGCUUAAAAUUAUGUUAUGAGGGCAGAAGAGGAACGAAGGGCUUUUUAGUAGAGGGAAAGAUGUGUAAAGGCACAGAGGAGUGAGAUCAUGUGGAAAUUCAUGGACCUGAAAGUUCCUUCCAUAUGGUUGAAGAAACAGAGAAAGAGGGGCAAAAAGUUGUAGAGGAGAGAUGGGCAGUUAUUGCUAUUUUCUGCCAGCAUUCAUUCCCCUUUUCUUGGGUAAUAUGAACCUGAUUUUAUUUAGAUUCUCCCCAUUGGCUACUGUUGGGCAGGGCUAGGAGGAUGCCCUCCUUUCUGUUAGACUGAAGGCAAAAAAGAGUGACAAAAUGCUGAAAAUCACUGAGGUCCUUUUGUUUACAGAGCAUUUCCAUGUGGAACAGUCAAGCAGCUUCUAACUUAGAGGCCUUUUGGAACAGCAUGGUUUCUCCCUGCACUAAAUCUCUGCAGCCUUCCUUUCCAACCUGCAAACACUGCAGAGCCUUCUAACAAAUUUGAGUUUUGAUUAAGGAAGUCAUAGUUGGUGUCAUUUGAUGGGAAUCAAAGAGUCCUAGUUGAUAUUAGAAGAAAGCAAAAUUGAUUAUUAGAGGCCUUGAAUUCCAUGCUGUGGAGUUUGGACUUUAUUUGAAGGCAA